GACGAACGCUGGCGGCGUGCUUAACACAUGCAAGUCGAACGGAAAGGCCCCUUUGGGGGUACUCGCGUGGCGAACGGGUGAGUAACACGCGAGUAACCUGCCCUUGACUUCGGGAUAACUUCAUGAAACUGGGGCUAAUACCGAAUAGGAAUCCUUUCUGCCUGGUGGGGGGUGGAAAGCUUCGUCGGUUUUGGAUGGACUCGCGGCCUAUCAGCUGGUUGGUGGGGUAGUGGCUUACCAAGGCUUUGACGGGUAGCCGGCCUGAGAGGGCGAACGGCCACAUUGGGACUGGGAUACGGCCCAGACUCCCACGGGGGGCAGCAGGGGGGAAUAUUGCACAAUGGGCGGAAGCCUGAUGCAGGAACGCCGCGUGCGGGAUGACGGCCUUCGGGUUGUAAACCGCUUUCAGCAGGGGCGAAGCUUGUGGUGACGGUACCUGCAGAAGAAGCACCGGCUAACUACGUG
RNAcentral lists this ribosomal RNA (465 nucleotides) under uncultured bacterium. Its description in RNAcentral is "partial 16S ribosomal RNA". It matches the Rfam family "Bacterial small subunit ribosomal RNA", at positions 28 to 507 of the family's 1533-position model. The record is from RNAcentral.